ACAUCAGAACAUUUAGUACUGCCUCUGCUAUCAUAGACUCUUCUAUGAAACUUCUUCAUUCUGGACCUUAUGGUAAUUCUAUGAUGUAUGUCAGUUGAAUUAGGGUCUAAAGCUGGCUGAGAUAUCUCCAGCCCUUCUGAUCUUACAAUUUCCAAGUAUCUUCCUGGAUCAAAAUUUGCGACCCCUAAAUCUUCAUCCCAUAGAAAUAUGUAAUCAUAGAUAGACACAACAGCUGGAUGCAGAAAUCGUUUUGC
RNAcentral lists this unclassified non-coding RNA (254 nucleotides) under Hevea brasiliensis (rubber tree). Lineage: Eukaryota; Viridiplantae; Streptophyta; Magnoliopsida; Malpighiales; Euphorbiaceae. The record is from RNAcentral.